CAGUCGCCGCGGUAAUACGAAGGGGGCUAGCGUUGUUCGGAAUUACUGGGCGUAAAGCGCACGUAGGCGGAUAUUUAAGUCGGGGGUGAAAUCCCGCAGCUCAACUGCGGAACUGCCUUUGAUACUGGGUAUCUUGAGUAUGGAAGAGGUAAGUGGAAUUGCGAGUGUAGAGGUGAAAUUCGUAGAUAUUCGCAGGAACACCAGUGGCGAAGGCGGCUUACUGGUCCAUUACUGACGCUGAGGUGCGAAAGCGUGGGAGCAAACAGGAUUAGAUACCCCUGUAGUCCCUGUCUCUUAUACA
RNAcentral lists this ribosomal RNA (301 nucleotides) under uncultured bacterium. RNAcentral describes it as "partial 16S ribosomal RNA". It matches the Rfam family "Bacterial small subunit ribosomal RNA", at positions 509 to 808 of the family's 1533-position model. The record is from RNAcentral.